CUUAGACAACUUGUUUAUGAUUUGAGCUCGUGCAUGGUAUCCGAACUUAUUUUACAGUUACACAUCUUGCAAGAUACUUUAAUAAAUUCUGGCAUUACAGAUAGCAGUCUCACAUGAACAUUAAAUCAAAAUAUUGGUAUAAGUGCACUUUUUUUUUUUUUUUUUAAUAUUACCAAAGAUUGCUGCAGUACACCAGUACCUUUACCCAUUCUUCUUUUUUGUGCAAAUUGUAUCGACUUGGGUUUCCUUGCACACGAGAGUACCACUGGCACAGAAUGAGUCGAUGUUUGUUUUUGCUUUGCAAUCUAUAGUGUUUGUAAAGCGGACCAUAUAAUAUGCUUUGUUAUUAUGUACUCUGUUAUUAUAGCAGAUAAUUUUUUUCCGUAGCGGAGUAUUAAAUUUCUUAAUCUUUAGUAUUUGCAUUUUUUAUUCUUUCACAGAUACGAUAUAUGUUAGAGUGUACGAAACUAGGAUGGAUCUUUUGAGGGCUAUCAUUAUAGGGCCUGCAGGCACUCCUUACCACGAUGGGCUUUUCGUCUUUGAUGUUCUAUUCCCCCCUAACUACCCAGACGUUCCACCAGUAUGUACUAUUUACUGUGUAUAUAUAUAACAUUUUGACAUUUAUAUAUUUGCUUCCAAUUUGUAAACGUUUUGUCUUGACAUCUUUAGAUGGUAUACUACUAUUCUGGUGGCCUUCGAUUGAAUCCAAACUUGUAUGAUUGUGGAAAAGUCUGCCUUAGUCUUUUAAACACGUGGACUGGUGAAGGGAAUGAGAAAUGGAUGCCAAAGACAUCUACAAUGCUGCAGGUCUUGGUGUCUAUACAAGCUUUAAUAUUGAACGAGGAGCCCUUUUUUAAUGAACCUGGGUACGAUGGUAUGUAUACUGGAGAGGAAGGAAGGAGGAGAUCCAAGGAAUACAGUGAAAGUGCCUUCAUUAUGUCACUGAAAACAAUGAUGUAUACGCUUAGGAGGCCCCCAAAGGUAAUCUGUACUUUUUCUUUCGCCAUUUUCUGUUACCGUUAUAUAUGGAUGUGUUUCUUCAUGAACAGGAUACAGAUACAAUGUUAUUAAUUAUUCAGCCAUUGGUCCUAUUUUCUUAAUUGCAGCUCAAUAUUAAUUAUGUAGUGAAAUACAAGUUAUGAUUACUUUGACGGGCCUGUGGUUAACAAAAAUUGAAAUUUCGUCUUCUUAUGUUACUGUUUGGUUGAGGGGUUCACUUGAAAACUCUUUUCCAUUAUUUGUGCAACUCAUUCCCCAUAUACCCCAUGGGAUUCUAAAUCACAUGAUCCCAUUUCUCAUGAAGAAAACAAGAUUUCGGAUCAGCCAAUUUGUGAACACCUGUUGCUAAGUUUUAUAACUGCAAUGCAGCAUUUCGAGGACUUUGUUGCUGGCCAUUUCCGCACCAAUGCACGGCGCAUCUUAUUGGCCUGUAAAGCUUACACGGAAGGAGCAGCGAUAGGAUCACUUGGGAACAAUGUCCAGGUGGAAAGCUCACAAAGUUUCAAGGAGGCUGUAGCCAAAAUGAUGAAUAGCCUGGUUUCGAUCUUCGCAAGAAAUGGAUCUAAGGAUUGUGAGGAGUUCCGGCAUUCAGGCUGAUAAUUAUUUUGCUUGGAACUUGGUAUCAUGUUGACACUAAUGCCUUCAAUAUCUUUAGGACGUUAAAAACAUUUUACCGGCUUAUUUAAGGUUUUACUGCACAGUGCAUAGUAGCAUUUUGUGCAGAGGAAAGGGUAAAUAGCAUGGUUAAAAACGAUUGGUUGUAGAUCUUUGCAUUACAUCUCUAAUUGGAAGGGAUUAGACAUUUGCAUCAUGGAAGCCCCCCUUUUAUCAUCAAUAAUAUCUUGUAUAUAUGAUUCGGAAACUGUAUGUUUGUGCCUUACUUUUUGCAAAUAUUUUUCUUUUUGAAUCCAAAAAUGUAUCCAUAGGUGCAGGUCUGGGGGUAUAAAUUUUUUUUUUUCUUUUCCCAAAACUGUUUUCAAAAGAUUAGGCAACUUGCUUUUAUAGCUUUUCCUUUUUUUUUGUGUGUAGGAAGGUAUAGAAGUCUGGAAUUAUUGAUAUCCAACAUAGAAAAUGUUUGGGGGGUAUAGCACUUUCUUCCUAAAUUAUUUGACCCGUGUAAACCCCAGAAAGCCUAACAUUCAGGAACGAGGGGAUUACAAGUAGCUAAUCAAAGUUGCUGAUACAGCAAGAGUAUUCAUUAAGGUUAUGAACAAGGCAUGUCAAAUUGCAGCUCCUGACAUUUGCUAAUCGUAAAAUAAAAUAUAAAACUAUAUUACAGAUACAUAUGGUGGUGAUCAAGUUCAUUAUUCAAUAGAAUCAAUACAAGCUAUAAUAAACCACAAAAAUUCUACCAAGCCAACGACUCUGAACACUAACUAUACAUUAUUCAAUAGAAUCAAUACAAGCUAUAAUAAACCACAAAAAUUCUACCAAGCCAACGACUCUGAACACUAACUAUACUCUGUGAUCACAGAUAUGAAUUCAAAACUUGUAGUAUGCGUCUACGGCAACGCAAUUCAAACACCGUAAUACUGUGCCUGCGCGUGUUGAUCCAGCUCCGGGCUCAACAUAUGACGAAGGAGAAUGUCGACCUUACGGGUUGGUGUUUUCAUUUUGGCAUAUCGUCUUCUUGACUCCUUCCUUACACUUACCUCGUCCCUGUCAUCCUUACUUACACUUACCUCGUCCCUGUCAUCCUUAUCCGCCUCUUCUAACUCCAUACGAGCAAAGAAUGCAUCCAACACGAAGGCGACUACCAAAUCCAGAAGCAGCAGAACGGUUACUAGAUAGAAGCUCACAAAGUACGCGUAAGACCAGGCAGAGUCUGUCAGCUGUUUAUAGCUCUGCAUCCAUGCUUGCCAGUUUACAGUCACUAGGAGAUUAAACAGUGUCACCAUUCCACUCGGGUAGUCAUUGAAAUUGAAAACCAGAUAGUCAUUAUCUGCAAGAGGCGUCUCUGCCAAACGCGCGUUUCCAGAAUUGACAAGCCCGCCAAAGAUCUGCACCCCUAAAGAGCAGUACAUGCAUAGCACACAGAAGAUGGUUCCCAGGUAAGGCAUUAAACUCGGGAUCAGAUUGAGGAAUGUGGCAACAAAGGCUCGGUAACGAGGAACAAAAAGCAAGAGCCUUAUGAGUCGCAGCAUCCUGGCAAUGAGGAGAUAGCGAAUCCAUUGUCCAUUUGAGAGAAAUAGCAGUCUUUCUGGAGAAACAAAAGUUGCUGUUUCGAAGAUCACUAUGAGCAUUGUGAUGAUGAAGUCGAAACGAUUCUGACCAGCCCUCCAGUAGUUUUCAAACCCUAAAGAGUAGACUUUUAGCAGCAUUUCUAGGAAAUACAACCACCCGAACACAAACUCAACUUGUUCCCAGAAUUUCUGCCCAGAUUUGUCUUGAAUGUCAAGAGUUGUUUCGACAACAACAGUAACAACGUUCAGUAUCAGGAUAAAGAUGACUACAUAUCGGAAUCUAGGACCCCGGACAAAGGCUUUCAGCUUCUGAGACAAGGGUGCGCGAUAAAAUUGGAAUUUCUCUAACCAAGGCACGGAAUCCCCCUUCUGAAAUAUUACUGCUAUGGCAUGACAAAUAUCGGUGAAUUCUACCAAACUAAUCUUAGAGUCAUUGGUAUUAUCCAAUUCACGGAAUAUGAGCCCAUAAUCUUCUUCUGGGAUAUUCGGCAAUGUACUGUAUCUGCUCAGUUCCUUGAACAAAUGACUACAUUGUUCUUUGUCCAAAUAUCCAAAAUCAUUUUCAUCUAUGAGAUUAAAGGCUUUUUUCAGAAUCGCAUUCGUUUUAAGAUCCCUUGCAACAACUUGUUUGGCUAGCUGACCCUUAAAGCUCGUGUACACAACAGCAAGGAUCAAGUUGGUGACGAAGUAAACAGCCACGAGCAUGUAGAGAAUGAAGAACAGGGAAUACCAGCGCGAUUCUUUGUACGCGGGAAUCCAGACAUCUGGAUUGUUGGCUGUGGUAAACAGGAUGAACAUAUGAUAUGUUGUUGCACCAUACGAGGUGAAUACUUGUCUUCCUUGUUCCGUGUUCUCAAAGACGACAUAGGCUAACCAACUCGAGAAGAGCAGAAACAGAAGUCCUAAAAGCUGCAAUUGGCAUACAUAAGACAGAUAGCAUCAGUGUUUAUACAAAGAUGGAUAAAACACAUUAAGAUAGAUGUGUAGUGGAGACGUACCACGACGUUAAAGAAUGUGGCGAUCAUUCCUGCAAGGACAAGUAAGGUCUUUCGCAGAACCCUGGAGUAGAUAUUAAGAAACGAUGAGCAAUCUAUCUCUACUUAAAAAAAAAUGUUGUGUAAGUGACUUAUACCUGAUGUUUAAUAUGAAAAAAACAACCCGGAUAUAAGGAGCUAUUCGGAAUGGAAGAGAAUUCAAUGCCACCGGAGACAGAUAAAGCCCAUAAAUGAAUAUAUCAAUGACCAAGAUUAGCAGGAAGAUGAUCUGAGAAAUGCGCAGAAAGGUACAAUCAGUAGCAGACAGAAAACUUUAAAAGAAACCAGUACAAGGCAUAAGUGGCCUGAACAAGAUUUCGUAGAGGUCACAAAAGUCAAGUCCAAAACUUCAUUGCCUAAACAAUACAAUAAGUCUUAAUUCUAAGAAGAUGUGACUGAAUAACAUCUGCUCAGACUCGGGUCUGGACCUCCGGACACUGACACAUGUUCAAGAUUGGACUUAAAAAAUUAUCUUCACUUGCAACUCAAAUAAUAAUAGACAAGUAUAUUGGAGGGAAGAAUAAUCUCGAAAAAUCCAUAAUACUAGGAUAAUCAAGAAACAGAACACAGACUUCAGGUGUUUGGAAAACCAUAAAUUGCAGGGGUUGUGAUAGUAGAGUACUUGCCUUUGCUUUAUGAAGAUUAUUCUUCCAGUAGAGAUUAAACCCUUCAUAUGAAACCGGAAAGAUCACAUGAGCUGUGAGAAUAACCAGAGUAAUUCCCUGCAUAAAAAAGCGGAACUCAUGCAUUAUAACAGAAGAUUAAGAAACCAAACUUGUGAAUACAUGAAAUUUAAAAGGUCUGCAAGUGUUGUCCCUGGUGACUUUAUAAAAACAUAAAUCAUUACCAAAUGAAUCGCCUCUGAUAUACUAUACAGGUACUCGGGAUGAUGAAGAUACCUUAAAAUUUAUAUGGCAAGUUUACCUCGUAUAUAAGAGAUGCGGCCUCAUUUAAGUGAGGCAGCUGUCCCAGAAAGUAGUAAUCCCUGUUAUGGCAUGAAACUGCUAAAUCCUGGCCGCACCACAAUGGUUUCUGUGAAUCAAAGUUCAGAUAAACAGCAUAUAACUAUGCCAACUCGAUGAAAAUAUACUGACAAUGAAUAAAUGAAGCUUAUGACUUGAACUCCACUGGCAUAUAUAGCCCAAACACUAUAGAGGUGUGUAAGAUCUUGACAAACCUCCAGGAAGUUGAGAUACAACAAAGCAAAACUGUUGAGGAACCAUAUCCAAUUAAAAUGAAUAAAGAAAAAGUAAUAUUUCACUGCAUCUGCAAAGGUUAAAUGAUCAUCAAGAAUCUCUUCUGGUAUUCCCAUGCCACCUUCAGCCUGAAAAGAACAUGUAACAUAUUAGAAAUUUUCGAUAGUGAUUCCAGUAUCACUUCUGGGAAACGACCAAUUAUAAGACACAAGACUUUAGUGUAUUUUUAUAUUAUGGCACCAAAAUUCAUGGUCUUGAAACAGAAAAUUAAGGUGCAUUCAGAAAACUAGUUUUAUCAGUCAUCCCAGGAGUGAUAUACUUUCUAUUUCUUCUGCUUCGUUAGAAUAUAAUAUGAUCCUGGCACCAAAAAUUUUUUGGGCUUUCGACUGAGGGGGAAUGUUAAAAUAUAAUCUGAUCCUCGUAAGCCCUCCUCCCAACGUCUCGAGGUUUUGGGAGAAUUGGUCACUUAACAUGCUUUACUAUAUCUUAGAGGUUAUUGAGCUAAAAACAAAGUUAGUAUCUUACGAGAUCAAUGAGUGCAGCAGCUUUCUGAUAAAGAGUACCAUGAGCAAUGGCAUCGGAUCUCCGACCAAUGGCGGGUGACGAUAGCAGUGGCCUCUCCAUCUUCUUCUCAGCUCGCUCUGUCUCUGUUAUUACAAGCUGUAAUAUACAACUACAAUGACCAUAUAUAUAUAGAUGCUACUUGGAGUAUAUAAAUGCAUGUAAAUUAUCAUAUUUAAUACAACUCACUCAAUGCAAUUAAACAAGUGAUUUUUGUUAGUUAGAGACUUGACUUUAUACGAAAUACCAAGAAACAAUACAUAACUAUACAGAGAAACACUGGAUCCAUGCAAUGGGAGUAUAAUUUAGGGAUGCAUGACGCGGUGAAGAAGGCGUCAUUUAGUAGGUGUCGAAGGUUGAAUACAGGGUAAACGUUCAAAGUAGAGGUUGUUAAAGUUACCUGCUGCAUAUUGUACUAUAAUAGUCAUCAGAGCACCAACUGCACGUACAAGUAAUAUAGACUCGCAGCCCGCAGGGGUGUAAUCCAGCCGAACCGAACAGUGCCGGGUUUGAGCUCGAGUCUUUAAUUUCAAGCUAGAAGCUCGGAUCGUAAAAAGUUCGAGUCGAAAACUCAAAUCGAUUUCACCAAAUAUUGAUAAAAACUCGAAAUAUGAUCUGUCCGGCUCAAUUAAAUAUAAAUAAAAUAUUAAAUAUUAAUAUAAAUAUAAAUAUAUGUUUACGAUUAUAAAAAUUAAAAUUAAUAGAGACUCGAUAAGGCUCGCGGAAUUUAUGAGCUUAGUAAUUUGAAGCUCGAACUUGGCUCGGUAAAGAAUUCGAAAAGCUUAAGCUCGGCUCGAUUGUUAUCGAGCCGAACUCGAGUAGUCCACGAACUGUUUGAGUGCCGAAUUCGAAUAUUUUACGAGCCGAACUCGAAUAACUCACGAACUGUUUGACUCAUUAACACCCCUUGAGACUCUGACCGAAACCGAAGCUUCUUGGAUUCUGAGGGAUAUUUCUCAAGAAAUUUGCAAAUAUUUAAGUUUAGCUCAAUUACAAUUCAGAAAAGAUACACAUUGACAAGAAGAUUCAUAAAAUUUCAUGGUCUGUAGUUCAUAUGCCAAAUCAGUUUGUAUAUGAAAAUUGAACACAAUCAUAAGCAUUGCAUACUUUGUUCUCCUAAUAUAGUGUAUGAUAUGAAGGAUGAACUAAGCAUUGGAGCACUCUGCAUGCUCCUUCAACUCUUCAUGCUCCUUCAACUCGGAGCUCAGCAUACGAUGGAGCAGCAUUUCAACUCUCUGACUUCGUGUUUUCGUGCCAGCAUAACGUCUUCUUGGCUCCCUUCCUUCGUUUUUCUUGCCCUUGUCAUCAUCCUUCCCUUUACCUUUCUUGUCCUCACCAUUAUCCUUUCCUUCACUUGUAUUGUUCUCGUUGUUAAGUUUCUCCUCGUCUUCUAGAUCCAUUUCAGCAAAGAAUGCCUCCAAGACAAAUGCUACUACCAAAUUCAGAAGUAGAAGAACAGUUACCAGAUAGAAGCUAACAAAGUAUAUGUAAGACCAUGCAGAAUAUGUCAGUUCUUUGUAGCUCUGCAUCCAUAUUUGCCAGUUUCCCAUCACUAACAAAUUAAAUAGUGUCACCAUACCACUUUGGUAGUCAUUAAAAUUGAAAAGUAGAUAGUCGCUAUCUGCAAGAUCCGUCUCGGCCAAACGAAGGUUGCCAGCAUUGACCAACCCGCCAAAGAGCUGCACCCCGAAAGAGCAAUACACGCAUAGAACACAGAAUAUAGUGCCUAGGUACGGCAUUAAACUUGGUAUCAGAGUGAGAAAUGUUGAAACAAAGGCUCGGUAACGACCAACAAAAAUUAAAAGCCUUAUUAGUCUUAACAUCCUUGCAAUAAGUAGGUAGCGAAUCCAUUCUCUAUUUAGGAGAAAUGGCAAAGACAGAAAAGUUGCUGUUUCGAUGAUAACUAUAACCAUAGUGAUCACGAAGUCAAAACGAUUUUGACCAUCCCUCCAAUAGUUUUCGAACCCAUGUGUGUAGAGUUUUAGCAGCAAUUCCAGAAAAUACAACCACCCAAAGACAACCUCAAGCUGUUCCCAGAACCUCUGCCCAGAGCUGUCUUGUAUGUCAAGAGUUGUUUCAAUAACAACAGUGAUAAUAUUCAGCAUCAAAACAAAUUUUACCACGUAUUCGAAGCUGGAGCUGACAACAAAGUUUCUCAACAUCUUGGAUAAGUCUGUGUGAUAGAAUCGGAAGCCGAAUAACCAAGGCCGACAAUUCUCCUUUUGAAACCUUACUGCUAUGGCAUUGCAAAUAUCAGUGAAUUCUUCAAAAGAUAUCUGGGAGUCACGUUUGGUAUCAUUACCACAUCCAUCAUCCAACUCGUCAAAUAUUAAUCCAAAAUCUUCUUCUGAGAUCUCCGGCAAUGUCCUGUAUCUGCUGAGUUCUUUCAACAAAAGACUGCACUGAUCUUUGUUUAAAUAGUUAAAAUCCUGGUCAACAAUGAAAUCAAAGGCCUUCUUGAGAAUUCUAUCCCUCAUACUAUCCUUUGCAACAAUUUGUUUGGCUAGCUGACCCUUAAAGCUAUCGUACACAACAGCCAGGACCAAGUUGGUGACGAAGUACACACCCAAGAGCACGUAAAGAAUGAAGAACAGGGAAUACCAACGUGAUGCUUUGUAUGCAGGAAUCCAGACAUCGGGAUUGUUGGAUGUUGUGAACAAGAUAAACAUGUGAUAUGUGGUUGCACCGAACGAGGUAAAUGUCAUUUUUCCUUGCGCUGUAUCCUCAAAUAUGACAUAUGCUAACCAACUUGAAAACAGCAAGAAAAGAAGUCCUAAAAGCUGCAAUUGGUUAAAUCACUCUUUUAAACUUUUUUAAAACAAAACAAUGCAACGAUACUGAUAUUUCUUUGAUUACAUUUAUGGUACCAUAACUAAUUAAUAUAAAGAUGUAGAAGUAAAGAGUAAAGACGUACCAAAACAUUAAGAUAUGUAAUAAUCAUUCCAGCAACAACAACUAAGGUGUCUCGUAGAUCCCUGUAGUGGAAAAUUAAAAAAAAAAUAUCAGAAAUCAUCAGUGGCAUGUUCAGAUUAAUAAGAAACAUCUUCCACUAUGUAUUUUCACAUAUUAAAAAUAUUGUACGAAAAUGAAAAAUUUAAAUUAGAGUAGUCUGUUUGUAGAAGUCAUGGCUACUAUCAGAUGGAUUUCUGGAGAAGACGUUGCAAAAGGUUGUAAAUCUCUGAAGAUGAACUGCUAAAUAUCAGUUAUGAAGUAUUGAUAAUUUCUACAUCUCUUAGGCAUAUCAUGGAAUCAUGAAAAAUCUCUAAUUAAUUCUAGAUUUAGGCACUUAUACCUGAUGUUCAAAAUGAAAAAGGCAACCCGUAUAUAAGGCGCUAUCCUGAAUGGGAGAUAAUAUAUUGCCACCGGAGAUAGAUAAAGCACAUAUAUGAAGAUAUCAGCGACCAGGAAUAGCAGGAAAAUGAUCUGAGAAAUCAAUAAAAAGGUACAACCAAUGUUAAGCAAGGAAGUUUUUUAAAGAUAAACUAGUACCACAUAUGAGUGGCCAGAGAAGAAUCAUGGAAAACUGGAAGUCACAAAAGUGAAGCUUGAAACUCCAUCGCCUACAAUAUAAUAAAUACUUAUUCUACUCGGACAUGCUUUACUUGAUGACUGAAUAACAGUGCAGUAUGUGAUAUUCACAAAUUUUGUACUCUAAAAGCAUGUUGAGACCAUGAGAAAGGAUCUAAGAUCUGAAACUCUUUCGUGCUAAAGUAGAUACUUUCAUUCAAUACUCAAAAAGUAUAAAUAAUUUGAAGUAGACUUCUUAACUUGCUGCAUAUAUAUGAACAAGCUUAUGUAUUGAGGAUAGAUCAUGGGUGAUUUAAUUUUGGUCAUCCUCUAUUCCAAGAAAGACUUUAAUCAACGCAGAAAGACUGUACCACAAGCUAACUACAAUAUGCAGUGAAUGGGUGUAAUCUUCAUAUUAAAAUUUGACAAAAUUUUGUAAAGUAUGUAGAAAUAUAAGAGAGUAGAUUUUUGAAAAUGAAGGUUGCACACUCAACACCAUAGUCCUCAUUAUCAGUGGACAACUAAAACUAAUUUGCACGGAUAAUAUCUAGAUCUUCCUAUUUGGCACCUUAUACUUUACCAACAUUGGCUCAUAUAUCACUAAAAUUUUAAAAUAUUUUUGUGACAGAUUGCAUUUUAACUUAAUUACCAAACACCAGAAUGAGUUGCUUGUAUAUUUUCAAGGCAACACCUGAAACGGAUAAAAGCAAGCCAAUUACUAUGUUUAUACUAAACCAGCUUUGUUAUGUCCGAUGAAGCCCAAUUAAGCCCUCCACGACCUACUCAUAAAUGUAAAUUGUGACUGAAUAUACAACAAACAAUUAUUUUCAAACAGAAACUACUUGUAUUUUUUCUAAAAAUAAAAAUUAAAUAUUAGCACAGUCAAGAAAUGCAAAGAGAUCCGGGGUUCAGAGAAGAUAUAGGCCGAUGCAGCUGAGUACUUACCUUUAGUUUAUUGAGAUUCCUUUUGAAGUAGAGAUUGAAUCCUUCGUAUGAAAUUGGAAAGAACAUAUGUACUAUGAGAAUAGCAAGAGUAAUUCCCUGGAUAGAUAUGCAGAAAUUCAUGCAUUAAAUUUCAAAUUCAAAUUGUUAUCACGUGAUAGGAGAAGAAAGGCAUGCAAUAGUCAUCUCAUACUAGUGAACUAGAGCAGAGGGCCUUUCCGACGAAUUUUGAAGUUAACAUGCCCAAAACAGCAAACUAUGGGAAAAAAAUAUAUCCAGCACUUAGAACAACAUACUUUACAUGUGUUAUCUGUUGAUAAAAUUAAUCAAAAUGUUGGUAAGGCUUCAUACUCUGCUAUAGAUCAGCUAUAAUUACUCAAGUACUAUAAUGCUGUGUGUAAGAGAGUGAGGUCACUAUGCAUGGGGGAGUUGUUGCUAUAAAGAAAUUGAAAAAAUUUCUUGGUAUAAACAAAUUUGGUUGCGUUUUUGCCCCCACGCGUUAUAAAAAAAUGUUCUAGUUAUAACUCAAAGAAUAGUUGUGUUCCUGUGCUUAUUUUGCAUAUGACUAGUCAGCUAUUACCCAUCUGACAAAUUCAUGUCGUGUACUGAAAUUCUAAUAACUUGCGUUCUGAUGUGCUAAAAGGGAUCAAUUAAUAAUAAUGUGUCAAAAAGGGCCAACACCACAAUUAUUUGCCCUUUUUAAAUGCUCAUACAGAUGUCCACAUUACACUAUUCUAAUUUAUCACAUUCCGAUAUAAGUCUUUUAUACAAACUUCUAAACGAUAGGGCAGCAUGUUAGCAUAAGAUAGCAACAAUAAACUUGACUGCCUUGGCAGCACAGUAGACCAGUUAUUACAUUCUGGAUUUCUGGUCUAUGUUACAUCUUGACCGAGUCGGAGCAAGAGUUAAAUUUGAAGCCCGAUUUGAACUAAUUGCGUACUUAUCUUGUUAUCUGCUUGUACGAAGACAAAUUCUGGUUUGUAAAGCUAUUAAUAACUACUUUGGUGAAAGUAGUUAUUAACUACUUUUAAUGCAUUUGAGGGUGUAUUCUUGAUUUCCUAUGAGCCACAAUUCCACAUAUGAGUGUUUUGGCAAAUUCAUAAAGAUCAUACCUCGUAUAUAAGAGAACCGGCCCCAUUUAAGUAAGGCAGCUGUCCAAGAAAGUAGUAAUCCCUAUCAUCGCAAGAUGUUUCUAAAUUCUGGCUGCACCACAAUGGUUUCUGCAAGAAUAUAAUUACGCCGACUUGAUGAAUAUAUAUUGGCAGUGAAUAAAUGAAGCAUGUAAAUAAUAAUAGCAAGUAUAGCACCAUAUAAGGAAAAAAAUUAACAGCACAAAAAAACUUGACCAACCUCCAAAAAGUUGAGCAAUAACAGCGCAAAAUAAUUUAAGGUCCAGAUGAGAUCAAACCGGAUGAAAAGAAAGUAAUAUUUCGUCGCAUCUGCAAAGUUUGAUUCAUCAUAAAGAAUCUCCUCUGGUAAUCCCAUGCCAUCUUCUGCCUGAAAAAGUGAAAAAGGGGGUGCAUGUACCAUAUUAUUGGAAUUUACAUAGUAGUCAAGUUAGUUUCACUUCUGGGAAAAAUGACCCGUCUAGCAUAGUUUAUUGCAAGUAUGCUUGUUACAGUGCGUCUGAUGCACAUACAUUAAUUGAUUCUCUAACAAUCACAAGAGAUACUACCUCCGUCCCUGAUUAGCCGAGAUUGUUGAUUUUGAGCACGUAAUUUAAAAUGUACUUUAUCUAGUAUGUCCAGGGUCAAUGUGCAGAAUCAACUUGAACUCCUAAAUUUUGUGAUUUGGGUCAUUUGACCAAAACUUAAUGCUCCCUCAUGAAAUUUUAGAUCUGAUAUGUUGCUGUAAUUCAUAAUUCCUGUUUAAUGAUUUUGGCUAAGAACUCAGUAGUAUCAUUCUAUCCAAAAUCGAAACCACAAUUUGCAUCAUAAAUCAAAACCACUCCAUCACAAUUCACAAACACAUAUACAAGACAAUUCAGUAAAGAGCCACCUUAGCUUGAAACCUCACGGAAGCCAUCGGUUCUAUUAUGCAAUAUUCUACAACAUACAUGAUACCAGAGAAAACAGGAGAAUAGUAAGUGAAGUGAAGUGAGAAGCAGAUACCAGAUCAAUGAGUGCAGCAGCUUUCUCAUAGGGAGAACCAUUCACAAUGGCAUCAGGUCCCCGCUUAAACGCAGACGACCGUUCCAGACUCCGUUUGCUAAGUAGUGAACGUCCAUCCAAGUUCUUCAUCUUCUUCUUGUGCUUAUUCUACUCUCUCUGUUUACACAACUAUCAUACCAUAUACAAUGCAGACUAGCAGGAGCAUAUCUGUAGCAUCUGGUGACUAAAUGUGCAUUAUAAUAACAUAUUGGAUCAAUGUUCAACAAAAUCCGGAUCCAAACCGCUUAAAAUAAUCAAAUGUUUCAUAUAUUAAUAACGUGUGAUCAACUGCAAAAGACUUGAUUGGUGCAAGCUGAGAAAGGUACAACUACAAGUGGCCAAAAAAAAUAAUAAAAAUGGUUUCAUAUUUAAUCUGUUUCCAUUAAAUUAGUAUUGUACUGUUAUCAGCUUCAUUACUUGGCAUUUAAUUAUUUGACACAGCAUAAACUAUUUGUUAAUGGUGUGCUCAUUCUGUAGAUUAGUUGGGGAUUGGGUUAAAUAGCUAAAUCAUCACCGGAAGAUACUACUAAAGUUUUCACUUGAAUCCCUGUCCCAAAAAAGUUUUCAGUCAAACACUUGAACGAGUAAAAUAUUUCAUAUGGGUUUCUGCCGUCAGUUCCGUUAACGGAAGUUGGAUGGGGUUGCUGACCUGGCAUUGCCCUCAUUCAUUUGUGCAUUCUCCAUUUCUCCUCUCCCAUUUGUUCAUUGUCAUCACACAGGUUCAACAUGCACAGCUUCUGGCGGUGAAUCAGCCGUGCUCCAUGAACGAAACACAUGGAUCCUGCAAAUUCCUGUCAAAGCAACACUUCUAACUAACUCAAUUACAUCACUAUCAUGCACCAACAAUCUGAAUCCUUCGUCCGGAGAAACAUCAACUGGAAAAUACAAUUUAUCCUCGUCACUAACUAAUGAUAAAUUGUAUUUUCUCCGGAUAAAUUGUAUUUUCCCUAAUUUAUGACUUCCCUAAUUUCACUCACAAUUUCCCUAAUUUGUCUAACGCUUAGCUUCUGCACUUCCGUUCUUUUAAACACCUUCGACUUUCGACCACUAUACCGGUACUUCGAGCUUCCACUCUUAAUCGAUCUUCACAAAUUUAUGAAACCCUAAGUUCGCCCCCAAUUUCUCUUUGCCAUCUCUAUCUCGAUGAACCGAUAUGAACUGCGUUCUUUCUGUUUUAGGUUCUGGGUUUAGUUGGAUCUAACGGGUCGGGUCAAUUAUUUGGGGCAUUGCCUACGUGACAGACAGCUGGCGAUGAUAUGGCAAGUCAAUCCGUCGAAGUCAAAGCUCACUUAACGGUCGUGAGAUUUUUCUAUUUUACGGUAUUAAGUGUGAUAAUUUUUAGUUUGAAUAUUGGUAGUGUUUAUAAGCCUGAUUUUUAUUUAAGUUUAUAAAUUGGAAACACUUAUUUCUAUGAUUGUGUAAAAAGUCGAGAAUUAAAAGAAGUUAAAAUUAUGAUUGUGUAAAAAAUUGAGAAUUAAAAGAAGUUAAAAGAAGUUAGGAUUAUCAUAUUUUGUUUCAAGAUUUCUAUUUAUUUUCUAAGUAAUUUAAUCAUUUAUAGAUCUUAAUUUGCUUCCGACUUGUAUUUUAUUUUUUUCUUAAAGAAAAAAUAUUUAUUUUUUAUGAGAUUGAAAACUUUUUUGGAAUUGUGAAUCAAGCGAAAACUUUAAUAUAUUAAAGUGAUGAUUUAGUUAUUUAAUCUGGGAUUGGAGAUUUGUUGAGGUGGUGGAUUGCGAUUAUUUUUAUUGCAGAGAGGUUAAAAUAUCGUAUCUUAUUUACUGAAAAGAAAAAUUGUCAUAAAAUAAAAUAUCAUUUACGUAACAGUGUAGAGAUAUUAUUUUGGUAUCUAAAUAUGCUGCGAUAUGAUUUUAUAUACACAAGCACCUUUCGAGUUUAAAAUUUAAUUUAAAAAUAUAUUUACCCAUACACUUAUCGGCUAUUUAUUUCGAUUUCUGUGCAGUGCUACAGAUUUGUUAGAAUUAAAACAAAUUCAAGAUUUCAAAAAGCAAAUUAGCUAAAGAGGAAAGAUUUCAAAAAAAUAAAUAAAUAAUAGUAAUAUUUAUACUAGAAGAUAGAGUGACCCGCACAUGACAGAGUCAGAGACAAGGAAACAGCAUUAGACUUGAAAUAUUAUAACAAUAAUCUCUUCUGACCAGAUCCAGCUUCUGUACUAAUGUAAAUUUUUAUAUAUAAAAAAACAACAAAAAUUGUUUUAAAAUAAUAAAAAAAAAGGAGGUACAUGAGAGAUGAUGAAGCUUCUGAAACAGCAUACUGAAUUUUCUAUAUUAAAAAGAAUAACAGGAUUAGAGGGAAAAUCUAAAUUUAAACAGUGGUCUCAUAUUACACCUCAGCUUUGCAAAUCCAAAAUAUGAUGAUUUCUUUAAUGUUGUUACCUCUGCUCUGUACAAAUCUCAAUCUCUACACAAUAAAAGAACAUAUGGUCAAACAGCCUCUCCACCUCAAUGCCAGAUUUCAGCCUGCACAAUCCACCAACAUUGAAAAUGUCAAUUUAUUAUAUAAAAUUAUAGGAAUGAAACGGUCAAUAUUUAUGCCGCGGCUUUGAUGAAUGUAAUGCAAUUGGAAAAAUUAAACUGGCCGGGUCUUGACAACACUUAGAUUUCAUAGUCAAACAGGAAAAAACCGUUGAUGCCAUUUGAAACCAAUUCAGAAUGAAAAUAGAUCAAAGUUCACAGUUCCUGAAUGGUUUAACCAAGGAAAACAAGUUAUCGCGAUUUCUAGAUGUUGUGAGAACAUACAGUGAUGAAAAGGUGAUUUAAAUGUGCCUAACACAUGGAUGCUAAAAAGGUGCAUUAUCGACAUCUAAGGACUUCUCUGAAACUGAAAUAUUUGGACCUGUGUUACUGGGAUUCGCUAGAAGUUCUCAACAUAGAUAUGUGUUCGAGUGAAGGAGUCUGGCAUUAACAUGAAAGAUAAGUGCGUGCAAAGAUUUUGCAGAUAUAGGAGCAGUUGAUUAACAACAAACAAAAUGUUCAAAGAAAGAGACACACAAUCAAUAAGAUUUCAGAUUUUAAUAGGAGGGGGGAAAAUAAGCUUAAACCUACUUCAUUAGCAACAACGUUAAAUAAUAAUAGGAUGUAUGGCCUAUUAAAUAAUGGAACACGUCAAAUGUAUCAGAGUGACCUAAAUUGACCUAGUUGUCCUAACAGAGCGCAGGACAAAAAGCUAAUCCCAAAAAACAUAUAAGAGCAACCGAGGAACAUUUGAAAUGGAUAUUAAAACUUCGUUAUUUCAAAAAGUUCAAAGACUGCGAAUAAUAGUUAUCAAAAGGAUAUCAAGUAAAUUUAUCACAGGUAUUUGUAGAACAGUAUAACAAAAACUGAGGAAAUUUCCAAGGGAAAAGAAAGCCAAGACUGACCUCAAAUCACAUAUCAGAAGAUUUUUUUCCUGUCACGAUCUUGGUUAUCUGCAAUCCCCUACUAAAUGCUUCAUUAAAUAAAAUCCUUGUUUGCAUAGACUGGAAUCCAGGCAACCAUGAUAGCACCGCCACAGGGGUCAUAACAAUCACUCCAAACAAUAUAUCAUACAAGCGAGCAACAGAAACAACAGUUUCCCAAAUCAUAGUAUUCUCCAAAAAGGGUCGCAACACUUGAGCUAUCGAAAUAAAACCCCAACCUGUGGGUAAAAAUGCCAACAGACUAGUGAAAAUAUCCACAAAUUUGAACUCGGUGAACUGGAGCAAGGCAAUGAUCACAAGCACAAAAAUGAUUAUAAGGAGAAACUGAACCAAUCGAUAAUAGAUAUGUUCUCUUGCAGCAUAUUUAUCCCGAGCAUAAGCUACAGUAGAGUAAACUGCAAGUGCCAUGCCCACAUAGAUCCACGAAAGCAAGUAAACAAAUAUGCUGUUGCUCCCAUCAGAAAUACCAAGUUGGUAUACAAUCCCAUACUGAAAAAAGAAAAACCGCAGGUCCAAAAUAAUUUCCAGAAAUUUUCCCCAAAGACCUGUUGUUCUCAAGUGAUCCUGCUCCUCAUACCACCAUCUUUCCCAGCCCUGAUCAGCUUUAGCAAACACACCACCGCGGAACCAUAUCCAGUUCAUGAAAUCAUCAAAGUCAUACACCGUUUUCAACCAAUCAAAACCAGAUGGAUUGAACAAGAAAGGGGCCAUCAUCCAUGAAAUCACUAGGAACCAACUUGAGAUGGUCAACGCAAUGUAAACAAAAGUUCCUUUAGCUACAGCACUGUAAGAGGCAUACACUACAAGUAUCAGCCCAAGCUCAAUAGCCUUUACAAAGUGGCUACGCGCAUAAAGUCUAUAGUUUUCAGCAAAGCUUUUGUGCUCCACCACGAAACCACGACCAGUUGCCCUGUACUUUGCACCACCAUGAAGAAUAGUUCGGCCAAAAUAGUGAGCCCGAGUUCCCAUGGAAAAUGUGAAAAAUACAGAUGACAGCUGAAGUUGCAUAGUUAUAAAAUCCCAAAUUGCUGAAAGAAAACCAUGCUCCAAAGAAUUUUCUACUAUCAUUGGCAACGCAGUGAACAGGCCAAGUUGGAGAAUGAACUGUUGGUUUAAUAUAGCACCAAGUGCUUUAUUGUCCGCAGCAUCAUCUGCUGCAUUAGAACUCUCAAUCCCACUUAAAGCAAGAUAAAGCCGACCCCACAGGAAUGCAUAAACAGUGAGGAUGAUCAUUGUUGUACUCAGGAAAAACCCUACAGUAGUGUAGAAAAAUGAUAGCAUUCUGAAAAAAUCCAGCCUAUGUCCCAACCUAUAGACCUCUCUGCUAAGAACCUGCUCCCCAUUUCCACUAGCAACUUUGGCUUCAAACAUCGCAAUUUGAUUCAGUCCAACAUCCCUCCCCUUGCCAACUUGCACGUAUUCAUGAUGAGUAACAUUCCCACCUCGCAAUGUGCAGCUGAAGCCUGCAAAUAUGUCCUCACUGAUAUUGAUCACCCUUGACGCUUUGCUUAUUCCUCCCCUAGUUAAGAACCAGAAUCUAUCAAAUACAUCCGGAUGACCAUAGUGCAUGCGUAUUUUAAGGGGGUUCGCCAAAACACGUUGUCCCAAUGUGACAAAACUAGUCUCCUGGGCUGACAUAAACCAAGCAAGCGAGGAGACAGAACCAGUAAAUAUGUGUUCCCGGACUCCCAAAAUAGUCGGCUUUCUCAAACCAUAAUAGUGCCUGUACUCCUCCAGAAGAUUUCGCAUUUUAAGUGCCUCCUCGAAAUAGCUGUCCUGGUUCAUAUCAAUGGUCUGAACUGCAUCUCCUCUAGUAAAGAUAAGAGCAUGGUUUUGAUUCUCUGGCUUUCCCUCCCCAAGCUUUAAUGGACCAGGUAACUUAACUCUAUAUAUCUCCACUUCCUUCUCCAACUGUUGGUCAUAUUUUACCAAAACAGAGUAAUAAUCCGGAUCAGGCCUCCCUGAGGGAACCACGUCGACAUAAGCAACCCGAAGAGCCUCGUUGUUUUUCAUCAGAUACAAUAUAUCUUCAGCAUGGGGGUCCUUCUUCGCCUUUUGGGUCCCAUAUAUCUGGCAGGCAACCACAUAGGUGUAUUUCAUCAGAGCAGUACCAUACUCAUGGCCUUUAAACAACAAGUUAACUGUACUGUCUGCCCUACUCAGGCUUCUUGCAGAUUGCGACCUUUCUGAGUUGAAACUAUCUAAGCUACGGCUACGCCCCAUCGAAGCAAGUUCCCGCGACCCUUCCCUGAUAUCCAUCUCUGAAGCAGAAUCCAGAAAAGCGAGCAUUUUGAGAGCACGAUAGUAAUACAUCAUUCCCCUCACAGUACGGGCCAGUGUCUGGCCUCGGUAUGACGCCCAAAGGCGCAGGUCUCUGAGCUUGUCAGUCCAUAUCUCACCAUUUUUAGCCAAACCUUCUCGUCGCAUUCUCUCCAAGAAAUUCUCCCAUUCAUCAGCAUAAAUUGUCUGCAAGUAAUACAAGGUGGAAAUACCAUCUUCAUUUUCAGUUCGAAGGUUUUCCUUACUAUAUAGCACUUCUUCAUUGUAAUACGGGGUCAAAACACUGAAAGCCAUCAUUUUCUCGACUUGGGGAGCAUGAGGCAUGUUCAUAAACAAUGAGUUACUGAAAAAGGCAAUACGACGUCUAGCCUCUAGAUUUUUCGGGACGUUAUUCAUCGAAUCCCGAGAUGUCAGAAUAGUGUGAAGGCGUCGAGCUUGCCGGUAAAAAGUUUCAUGAUCUGUAUCUGGCAAUUCAAUAGCAUUCUCAAAUAGCAACCUGUCACCCGAAACUGCCCUUCUUGGAGCCAAACCAUCCUCCCUCAGCUGAUCUGCAUUCCUUUUUUCUUUAAAAAAAUCUCGAAUAGCAGUCUCAUACAGGGCCUGCAGAAUGUUCACAAUCUUGUUGACAUCUUUAGUAGGCUUGAUUAUCAGGUCGAGGAGGAUGAUCAGCUUUGCAUGAAUCCGGGGAAGUGCCUUCAGAUUGAAUGUUUUUGUAAACUUUUCAUUCUGCAACGAGUGAUCAAUUUCUUGAAAUAAGACCGUAACAAUAGAAUGUUCCUCCACGUCAUAUUUAAUAAUAUGCAGCAACAAGUGCUUAACACAGUCAUAAGUUUCAAUGACAGCACAACGCCUGUACUCAUACUUGCAAAUUUUGUACCAGAGCCACUUAUCAGGAGCAUCUACUAACUCCUUGGCUUGGCUUAGAGCGAGAAGCAGCUCAUUGCAGAGAAGCAAACAUGGCCAUCGAAUGACCCUAACAUUCCAGGUAUCCUGUGGCAACUCCAACAACUCCACCUCCUUAUCACUUAAGAUAUCUUCUUCCCUAAAUGUCAAGAUUAUCUCGUUCCAUAUCAAUGCAAAUUUGUUUGCUUCUACCUGGCUCGAUUCAAGCUUCUUAAAGGGUCGGCCAAGGCCAUACCUUAGCUUCAACCUGUUAAUUGCAUCCCGAAACUUGCUCUUGAGACUUCCCCUGGCAUUCAAUAGUUGUUCCUCAGGCAUGAGAUUGAACUGAAUCGCACUAGCAAAGAAUUGGAAUCUUAAUCUCAACUGCUGCAUGUUUCGGAUCUCGCCCAAGUGCUGGAACAACCCAACUCCUGCACCAACAAAUGACGAGUAUAUGGAGUACCAAAUCUGUAUAUCCAUUAAGUAUAUUAACACCACUGGAAGCCACAAUAUUCCAACAGCAAAUCUGUUGCUUUUCCCAAAGAACUGGUGCCACUCAUAAGUCACAUCUUUCAUAUCCAGUAAGGCCUGUGUCGGGUUAACCAUCGGUUUGAUCUGCAAAAAGUAACUGAAGCAAAAUUUUGUGGCAAGGACAACAAUCCAGAACAAAGUAUACUUCACAUUGUCCAUAAGUCCUUCUCUAAGGCCUCUCCCCACAAAUGACCGGCUCUGAAACCACCAUGACAACACGUAAAAGAUCCUCCAAUUUCGAUUCUCGAUGAAAUUUCUGAUCCACGGUACUAUAAAAAGCGAAAGUGCCAGAAGUUCCGGGAUGACAUAUACUAAUGCAAUCUCAAGAAAAGUAACCACCUGAUUGUUCACCUCAUGUUUUUCCCAUUUCCCAUAUUUAUUCUUCUCCUUCACUAUCCUCCCAUAGAAAACACCAAAGAUUAGAAUCCAUAUAGCAGCAACAACACUCUUCAACACCAUCCUCACACCAAGCCCCAUAGUCUCCCUCGUAACUAAACUAUACUGCAUUCCAGCAUCAAGAAUUGACUGCAAGAACCUCAACCCACUCCACGUAAUAAACACAGUCAAAAGCGUAACCUGAACACUCCUCUCCUCCAAUGCCUGCCACGGAUACUCCCUCUCCUCCCACGCCACAAUAAUCGCAGCCUGAAGAAACAAAAUCAACAUAAUCCAAAGCUUAUCGAAACUCCUAAACAAAUUCCAAAAUGACCUCUGCUCCACAAACCCCGUCUUCCCUACCCUCUUCCCACCCCUAACAUCUGCCACAAAAAAAUUACUCCCCCGAUCAAGUGGCCAAUUCAACUUAUCGAAACACCUCCUACUCCAAAAGUACUCAUUGAUAUCAUCAUAAUUCCUCCAAUUCGAAUGAGGGGCAGUCCCAUUCCUACUAUUCUCUACCUCAGCCUUAAUCGUAUCAUAAAUAGGCGUAACAAUCUUUAUCAAGAACGCAUUCUCCCCCGACACACUAGGCAAAAUCGGCCUCCCCGUAUUCUCAUCAAUGUAAUCCUCAAGAAUCUUAUUAAGCUCCAUACUCAAAUUAUGAAAAAUAAAACAAAUACAUUCUGGCAUAAAUCUCAAAUUCGCAGACUCGCCCCAAAUAAGCAAGUAGAGAGAUACAUACAAAAGCUCGCGCCUUUGAUCGGAGUGGGCCCCACGGGAGCUAUCGGAGAUCCAGAUGUUUGGCUUCCGCCCAAGAAACGAGCACCAAUCAGAGUAGUUCUUGAGCAAUUUCCGGCGAAAACGUCGGAGCACAGUGGGGUCCAGUGAAUCGAUAUUGUCGGGGGGUGGGGUCAGGCGCAUCUGAGCGUUGGCCAAGUGAAGGACUAUGUGCUCGCGCUGGUUGCGAACGUUGUCGUUUUGGAAGCCGAAAAAAGCGCCGAGCCAGUCGAGGAGGUCCAUGUGGGGGAGCCAUGGCGCAAAGGGAGGUUUGCGGAGGUCUCCGACGGCGCGUAGGGCGGCGGCGGCGGCGCGUACUUCGGGGAAGCGGAGAGAGGGGUGGUCAGCUAGUAGGUCGUGGAUGGGGAUGAUGUUGUAGGGUUGGGGCGGGUUCGGGUCGGGCCGGGUCUGACCAGGUCGUCGGACAUUCAUAGCAUCAGUAAUCAAUAGUGAGAGAGAGAGAGAGUUGAGCAAAUAGGGAGAGAGAUUUAAGCAGAGAGACUGGGGCUUACAGAGAGAGAGAGAGAGAGAGAUUUGAAAUUUGUGUAAAUCUGGAGAGAGAGGGGGGGGAGGGGGGGUAACGUGCAAAAGUGAAGGUGGGGGAAGUAUGGACGAGCAGACAAAAAAAGGAAAAAUUGAAACGAAGCGAAAGCGGAAAGAAGAGAGAUGGGCCCGUGUAACGCGUGGAUACAGUGUGGGUAUAUACUGUUUGUUAAAAGCUAGCUAAUGGUUUUUCAAAUCUCACAAUACGCCGUGUUUUCAGAAGAAUCAAGCUGCACUCAAACGCACCUCCAUUACAUAAAUUAAAUAUAUAUUCUUAUAAAUACUAGCCUUUUAACCCGGUCGAAGCACGGGCGGGUAUAUAUAAAGAUUGAGCAAUCUAAUCAAUCGAAUUUCAAACAUAAUUUUGUAAUCUUAGUUUUUUUGACAACAAUAACUUUUAAGAUUAGAGUUAGAAAGAGUUAUGUAAUGAUUCGUGUUUAUAUUGAAAUAGAACACGUUAAAGUUAAAAAGAAUUAUAUGAAGGUUCUUGUUAAAAAAAAAAAAAUCAAAAUUGUAUAUUUAUAAUUUUUUUUAUAACAUCAUUAUAAUUUUUUUAAUGAAAUAUUAUAUGAUAAUGUAUUGUUAUGAGUGUUUUUAGUAUUUGAAACUGUUUAACAAUAUAAUACUAAUGGACUCCACAUUUGUAGACUUGUAGUACCAAAAGGAGGGUACCAAACCAAAAAAUCAAUAUGGCGCCUCGUGAAAGAUAUAAAAAAAAUUGUUUCAGAUUCAUUGAUAUGGUAUAUAUCUUGGCAUAAAUUAAUCUGAUUCUGUUUCAGAUUAUUUAUGGAAUAUAAUAAAUUGAAAGCAUCAGUCUGAUUUUAUUUCAGAUUAUUUAUGGAAUAUAGUAGCUUGCAAGUUUUUUAAUCUGAUUCUAUUUCAGAUUAUUUGAUUAUGGAAAAGAGUAGCGCACAAGUUUCUCGGCACCUAUAAAUACCCUUAUAGGUUGUAGGGUUUUGGAUCAUCUAAACACAACCUACACUGUCUCUCAAUAUCACAGUUAAGGGUGUGCAUUCGGUUCGGUUAACCGAAAACCGAACCGAAUAACCAAAAUAAUUUCGGUUCGGUUAAUCGAAAUUUAUAUUUCGGUUCGGUUUUCGGUAGCCAAAUUUUCAAUUUUCGGUUAUCCGGUUUUUUAACCGCGGUUUCAUAGAAUUUCAGUUUCGGUUAACCGAAAUAAAUUUCGGUUUCGGUUAACCGAAUGCACACCCCUAAUUACAAUGAUAUAUGUUUGUUGUUGAUUCUUUUAUAAUACUUAUAUAAAGGAGAAGCGAGGGGCGUGUAGGUGGCGCCUCUCAGAUAGCUCCGUUCUAUUUUUCUAAUUUUUCGGAUUUUUUGGGUGAAAGAUAUAAAAAAAAAUUGUUUCAGAUUCAUUGAUAUGGUAUAUAUCUUGGCAUAAAUUAAUCUGAUUCUGUUUCAGAUUAUUUUUGGAAUAUAAUAAAUUGAAAGUAUUAGUCUGAUUUUAUUUCAGAUUAUUUAUGGAAUAUAGUAGCUUGCAAGUUUUUUAAUCUGAUUUUAUUUCAGAUUAUUUGAUUAUGGAAAAGAGUAGCGCACAAGUUUCUCGGCACCUAUAAAUACCCUUAUAGGUUGUAGGGUUUUGGAUCAUCUAAACACAACCUACACUGUCUCUCAAUAUCACAGUUAAGGGUGUGCAUUCGGUUCGGUUAACCGAAAACCGAACCGAAUAACCAAAAUAAUUUCGGUUCGGUUAAUCGAAAUUUAUAUUUCGGUUCGGUUUUCGGUAGCCAAAUUUUCAAUUUUCGGUUAUCCGGUUUUUUAACCGCGGUUUCAUAGAAUUUCAGUUUCGGUUAACCGAAAUAAAUUUCGGUUUCGGUUAACCGAAUGCACACCCCUAAUUACAAUGAUAUAUGUUUGUUGUUGAUUCUUUUAUAAUAUUUGUUUUGGUCAUCGGACGUAUUUGUUGUUGUUUGCAAGCUUACGGUCUGUUUUAUUGAUGUCAUCAGUCAGUAUAGUCGUAUGCUUUUUAUAUGCAAGUAGUGGUGUAUAUGUCUAAGAAGUAGUGUUUGGAAAAGUUAAUGACAAUGAUAGUCAAAAACAAAACUUUUCAAAAAGAAAAACACAAUUAAAAUUAAGAUUCGUCGUGCUUUAAAUCGUUAAUUACAUGUAGAAACUUAUUAUCAUUUUUUCACAUAUAAAUUAUAGUCCAAUUUUGCAAUUUUAAAAAUUAAUAUUGGUAUUGCAUCGAGAUGUUUAUAAUAUAAAAUUUAUUUUAUUUUAUAAAUAUUAGUUUUGAAUCAUUAAUAUAAUUUUUAUAAGUCGCCGCAAAUUGAUUUUAUUCUAUAAAUAUUAAUUUUGAAUCAUUAAUGUAUAGGCCGCCGCAACGCGCGGAUUCUCAACUAGUAUAACUAAAAUUUUGGAUUACAAAUUAUACUCAUGUUUGCUUAUUAUAGUAUAGUAUAGAUUACUACCAAUAUCAGGCGAGUUUAAAUGGUAGUAUAAAUUAUUAACUUAAAAGCGUAAAUUGCACCAAACAAAAACAAGCCUAAUAUAGGAAAAAAGAGUUGACGCGCACAUGCUACCCUCCGGCUCGGAGUUAUUUAGAGAAGGCCACAUGCAUCAUCCAAAUAUUUUCUCUGUUUUUCCCGCUUAAUUAAAUUAUGCUGGUCCCCACCAAAAACACAACUUCGUAAAAAUAUUACACAAAAAAACUUCUAUAAACUACAACGCCAUUUACUCAUUUUAUUUUCCAACUUUGCUAAUUAAGUUUGUUUAAGCAACUUACACAAUUAAUUGUUUUAAAAGGAAAGGUAAAAUUCUGUUUUUGAAAAUCUGAUAACAUGAGUGAGCAGCGGGUCCCAUUUGCAACGGCCAAAAUCAGUGGCUCGAAUUAUUUUUGUUUAACGGGCAGAUACCUAAGCUAAAACUUAGUAGUAAUUUCUACCGCUUGUUUAAAAAAACAGAAUAGACAUUCAGAUCUGGACGUUGGAUUUAGACGAUUAUGAGAAGUUAAUAAUAAUAAUUGAAAACUUAACUCAAAUUUUAGUUGACCAAACAAAACAAACAAGAAGCUGCGUAGUACUCCUACUUGGUUAAAGAAUAUUAAGACCCAUUUCGCAAUCUCAAUGUAAUUGACAUGUUGUUGCCUUGCCAUUAGAGCAAGUCCAACAGCUGCCCUAUUUAGUGUCCUAAGUCAUAAUAUAGGGCAUUUGAUGAAAAAACUUGAUCCAACAAUGUCCUAGUGAUGCCCUAUAUCACUAGGACAACCCAUUCAAGCCCUAUUUUUGAGGCACUCUCUCUCCUUGCCCUAUCCCAUAUUUUAUAAUAAAUUAUUCCCACCACUCUCUUUCUCUCUCUAUUUUAUAUUAUGUUUUAAUGAUGAAAGUGAACUUUUAAUAAUAAAAUAUUAAACAUAUAGUUUAAUAUAUGUGCCUUAUUUUCACUAUAUGUUUAAUAUUUUAUUAUUAAAAGUUCACUUUCAUCAUUAAAACAUAAUAUAAAAUAGAGAGAGAAAGAGAGUGUUGGUAAUAAUUUAUUAUAAAAUAUGGGAUAGGGCAAGGAGAGAGCUCUAUUCGUUUAAUAUUUUAUUAUUAAAAGUUCACUUUCAUCAUUAAAACAUCAAAGAAAGUAGAGAGAGAAAGAGAGUGUUGGUAGGAAAUUAUUAUAAAAUAUGGGAUAGGGCAAGGAGAGAGUGCCUCAAAAAUAGGGCUUGAAUGGGUUGUCCUAGUGANNNNNNNNNNNNNNNNNNNNNNNNNNNNNNNNNNNNNNNNNNNNNNNNNNNNNNNNNNNNNNNNNNNNNNNNNNNNNNNNNNNNNNNNNNNNNNNNNNNNNNNNNNNNNNNNNNNNNNNNNNNNNNNNNNNNNNNNNNNNNNNNNNNNNNNNNNNNNNNNNNNNNNNNNNNNNNNNNNNNNNNNNNNNNNNNNNNNNNNNNNNNNNNNNNNNNNNNNNNNNNNNNNNNNNNNNNNNNNNNNNNNNNNNNNNNNNNNNNNNNNNNNNNNNNNNNNNNNNNNNNNNNNNNNNNNNNNNNNNNNNNNNNNNNNNNNNNNNNNNNNNNNNNNNNNNNNNNNNNNNNNNNNNNNNNNNNNNNNNNNNNNNNNNNNNNNNNNNNNNNNNNNNNNNNNNNNNNNNNNNNNNNNNNNNNNNNNNNNNNNNNNNNNNNNNNNNNNNNNNNNNNNNNNNNNNNNNNNNNNNNNNNNNNNNNNNNNNNNNNNNNNNNNNNNNNNNNNNNNNNNNNNNNNNNNNNNNNNNNNNNNNNNNNNNNNNNNNNNNNNNNNNNNNNNNNNNNNNNNNNNNNNNNNNNNNNNNNNNNNNNNNNNNNNNNNNNNNNNNNNNNNNNNNNNNNNNNNNNNNNNNNNNNNNNNNNNNNNNNNNNNNNNNNNNNNNNNNNNNNNNNNNNNNNNNNNNNNNNNNNNNNNNNNNNNNNNNNNNNNNNNNNNNNNNNNNNNNNNNNNNNNNNNNNNNNNNNNNNNNNNNNNNNNNNNNNNNNNNNNNNNNNNNNNNNNNNNNNNNNNNNNNNNNNNNNNNNNNNNNNNNNNNNNNNNNNNNNNNNNNNNNNNNNNNNNNNNNNNNNNNNNNNNNNNNNNNNNNNNNNNNNNNNNNNNNNNNNNNNNNNNNNNNNNNNNNNNNNNNNNNNNNNNNNNNNNNNNNNNNNNNNNNNNNNNNNNNNNNNNNNNNNNNNNNNNNNNNNNNNNNNNNNNNNNNNNNNNNNNNNNNNNNNNNNNNNNNNNNNNAUUAUGACUUAGGACAAUAAAUAGGGCACCUGUUGGACUUGCUCUUAGUCAUCAAUCAAUCUAUGUAGAUGUAGGCAGCUAUUUGAAUGCAAGACGUGUAAAUUUCGGAUCAUUUACCAUUCCAUUUUAUAAUGAUAAAGAGCGAAGAAAUUUAUACUACUCCUAAUGGCUAAUAAUGAGGGGAGGACAAAUAAGGGAAACAGCGAUGGGCGAUGGGGCUGUGGAGGUUGUCAAGUGUCAACAACGAUGUAGUUUCAUUGAGAUGAAUGGUUCAUAAAUUAGAUAGUCUAUACAUAUACGGUAUUUUGACUCUGCUCAUUUUAUGAAAAUAAAAUUUUAUUUUUCAAAAAAAUUAUAUCUAAAAUUAAGUACUUUGUCCCUCUUAUUUCGAAAAAAAGGAAAAAGUACUCUGUCCCACUAAUUAUUUACGUUUCGCGAUUGAGAGGCUAGACAUCAUGACUCAUAUAAAGUAUAGUUUCACUCCUUAUUUUUAAAUUUUAUUUAUUUGAAUAAAAAUUUAAUAUACAAUUUUUCCCCAGAAAAAAUGAAAUCUUAAAACAAAAUUAUAUAUAUGAGCAUUAAAAUGUGUGCACGGUCCGGAGGAUUUAUAUAAAAUAUGUUUCAUACAUCUCAUUUAGAUAUAUAAAUACUUAUUUUCAAAAAAUAUAAAUUCAUUUUUUUUUUCUGAAAGUGGAAAUAUGAAAAAUAAGAAGCAUCAAUCGUUUUUCAUACAUACCCAUUUCAUAAUAGCUUUCUUUCGUUUUUUGAAUCCCCAUUUUUAAUUUAGAAAGUCUGUGGGUAGCAGUUUAGUUGGUAUGUUACGCAAUUGGAUCGUUGUGAUAACGAGUUUGAUGCCCUGAAUUUAUAUCAGAAUACACCCCAAAUUUUUCAUGCAAAUGAUAACUUCUCCCUCGACCCCCACCCACAUACAUAUAUAUAUGGUGGAUUGUGGACAAGAGUAACAACAAUCAUAUGACAAAAACACCAGAAAACAGAACUCACGAAUAUAUACAGUGGGCCAGACAAGUGCCACAUUUCAUGUUACAAGCACCCAAUGAACAUACUAAAUAAUUUUUAAAUAUCCAAACAUUCCCUGGUCCAAAUAUGUAUACCAAGAUACCGUGCCAAUUACAUCAACUUUAUUUGAAACAGCAUACAUAGACUAAAAAGACGUCAUGAUUGUCUCUGCAAUCGGCUGAAUACGAGUAGUAGGAAUAAUGUUGCUUACCCGGACCAUCCUGUCUGAGAACCACCCCCGGAAGGAUGCACAUUCAACCUGUCCAGCACGGCAUUGAAAUCAACAGGUUGGCCACUUUCCUCUAGCCUCUGAAUUACACUUGCUACAUGCUCUCCUCUAUAUCCCAUGCUCACCAAUUUCUCAACCAGUUCAUUGUAGGGAUGGUUGCGCAUAAAUUGUGGAGGGCGAGGCAUCAUAUUAGUGCUGCUAUUAGGUUGCUGAUUCUGAGAAUAACCACCUUGAGGGAAAUGAGACUGGCUUGAAUGUUGCUGCCUUCCCCCUUCAGCAUCAUACAUCAUGUACGCAUUUCCAGAGGACAGUGUUUGGUGUGGUCCAGAAGCAGCAUACCCCUCACCUGGCUGUGCUCCAAAAGAAGCCUUCAGAUGCUGAUGUGGAGGCGGCUGCUGCUGUGGCUGUGGCUGAGCUGGUCUACCAACCCCACCAUAGCCAUAAGGCAUGACAUCUGCACGGCUUGGAACAGGUUGAGACAUCCCUGAAUAUGGCAGUUGCAUUGAUAUGCUGUUUGGAAGGGUCUCGGGAGGAGUCGCCGCUUGACUGGGCAUAUAGUUAGGAGGAUAAACAGCAGGAGAUGUUGGCCUUAUCUGAGGCUGCAUUGAUGUUUGCGGGUGUUGUUGACCUUGCUGGGUCAUCUGCUGGGGCCACUGCUGCUGGUACUGAGGUAAAGAGUGAUUUUGUGGUGUUUGAUUCACUUGAGAUUGUGCGGGUUGUGGUUGAGUUUGAUACUGGGAAUUAGAUGGAAGAUAUUGACCAUGAGAUGGCUGCAUAGAAGACGGCAAGUUUGGUAAUUGCACUGGAGGUAAAUAAUAACCCUGAGCAGGAGUCACAUUUGGAGGUGGCUGUUGCGGCAUGGGCUGCUGGUGAUGCUCCACAGGUCUGGAGGGAACUGAAGGUUGCGGAGGUAUUUGACUGGGUAAAGCAAGAGCUAGUUGUUGUCCACGGGCGUCUGAUGUAUUGUCGUUCUUCUUAGGUUCAGAAGCAGGUGGAGAUGCUCGUUCCUCUCCCUGCUGGGAAUGGGUUGCCGAAUUGGACUCUUUCUGUGCAAGCUGAAUUUUUGCAAGUUCUUUCUGGGUUUCAGCAAGCUCCUGUUUGUCUCUUAGAAUCUGGACUGACCUGUGGACCUGUAAUGACAACAUGUAUGAGUCUUAUUGAACAAUUCGAGAACUUUAAGCCAUUUAAACUAUCAAAAACACAUCAACAAGAAGCAGCAGCAGAUUGCUUCAAAUACAAAGCAAUUGAGCUAUGCAGCAUACCUUGACAUCAUAGUUUCAAAAUGAAGGAACAAAAAUAUUCAUCAUAAUUAGUGUGAUCUUGCUAGAACUUCUGUAUAGAUACUACUAUACAAAUGUGAAAAGUAAAAAUGUUACCUCUUGAAGAUGCUUCUCAAGAAAUUUGAGCUUCGAAUCUGCCUCCCCGUUAUCACGAGCUAACUCGGAUCGCAUUUCACCAAUAGAUUUAUCAAGAUUAUAGCAGUAUAGUUCCAACUGGGAUAGUCUGGAACUGAUCCCCUCCAGAAAACGCAUCAGAUUGUCAGCAUACUUUUUCAUAGUCAAUUCAACAGUUGCAAUAACAUCCUGGUUGAUAGAUUCUUCUGGAGGACUGUAAGAGGAAGCAGGAUACACAGCAGAUUUUGCCAUUCUACUUUUGUGAAAUUCCUGCUUCAACAUUAUAGCAACAUUUAGUAUAACUCCAACAAGCAGUUGACUUAAUUAUAGAAAUAUAUAGAAGGAAUUAUCUUAUUCGAUAGCUUACACUUACUAAAAAUAAUAACAGGGUGAAAAGAUUAGUAGGAAGUGUCCAGCCAUAGAGAAAACAAAAAUAAGCAUGUGCAGAGAUAAAUAAGAUUGAGGGUCAGUGUCUCAUGAAAUUAAAAUAUAUAUAUACGUAUAUAAAGCAUUUCUAGCACAUAGCUGAAAGCAUCACAUCCUUCAAACAAGUGCAAAACUAACCUUGAUAUCUGAAUAAAAAUAAAAUGAAUAUCCACACAUUGGUAUAAAAUUAUAAGCUUUCCUAAAUUAUGGUAAAUAAUGAUCUGGGUAUGGCCUAAGAAGUUGUCCAUCCAGAGUAAAAUAAAGUAUGUACAUUCAUUGGGGAAAAGCAUGUACAUAUAGGAAUAUAAUCCAUAUAGUAUCCAUAAAUCUUUUUGUAAGGUUUAACACAGAAAACAGUCUGCGAAACUCAAUAUACCAUAAAGAGACUAAAAAAAACUAACUAGCGAAGCAAACUUGUACAUUAUAUGAAACUGAAUGAUAGGAAAUUAAAGAACUUAUUGGUUCAUCUAGACACGGGACCAAACAAACCAAUCAACAAAAUCAGCUACCAUUAAAACAAAAACAUAUACGAGACAAAAUUGGCAAGAAUCUAGCCAACGUCACUCAUUACACUCAACAAAGUGACAUGAUCAACAUAUCCAUAUAACUCAAGUUCAAUUUCAUAACACAAACUAGUUGGUAGUUGCGUUCUUAGGUAUAAAACAUAUACAAAACAAAUACUAUAACGACUGAUUAAACAACCAACACCUUCACCCUCACAGUUAGAACACGUUAUCAAUUGUGUAUUCACAAACAACCUGUCGGAAAUCCAAAAACUAAGGUACACCGACACACUUUUGAUUUGAACUAUACUUGCAAUAUUUCGCACCCGAAACAAUUCAAACCAGCUUCUAACAAUCAAGUCAAUACUCGAAACUUCACAAAAACUAAAUUAAAUCCCGAAUCUCCUAUCAGCUAAAAAUUCAACCAACCACAAAGCAAUUCAAUCAAUUUGAUCAUUUUAAACAAAACCCACAAACAUCAAGAUCAAGAAAGCUAAUUUUCACACGCCCCCACAUCAAAUUACAAAGCAAAAACACAAAAAAAUAAUAAUCAAAACCCUAACAAAAAUAAACAUAAUUGACCAAAAAAAUCAGGAAAAAGAAUUAGGGUUUGACCUUGGAAGAAUUGGCACCGACAGGAUCGGAGGAGUGGACGCCGUUGGAAUUUUCUUGAUUAGCGUAAUCUUCGUAAGAGCAAAGAAUAUCAUCGGAAGCGAAAUCGUAGCCUUUUGGACCCGAAUUGUUCCGACCCGAAGAAGAUCCGGAUGCCAUGGGAAGAGCUUCGUUGAUCGUUAGCUGUGAGGUGUGAAAUUGAAGAAAUUUAAGGGAAAUUAAGCCCAGAAAAUAGUGGUCUUGUAGAGAGAUAAAGGCUAUCAAGAUGGAUAGAGAUGAAAAAAGUGCGUGUAUAUAUUAUGUAAUCAACCUGUAGGGAGAGAAAUGUGAUCAAAUUAUAUUAAUUUAAUGUAUAUGCAUUUAAUUUACUAAUAUUUUUUUUAAUAAGCUACUAAUAUAUUAAUUUGAUAUGUAUAUGUCAUAAGUAUAUAUAUAUUUUUUAUUUAUAUGUAUAUAUUUUAUUUUAUUUCUGCCUAUUUUAUUAUUUUCAAUUUAUUAUAAAAUAAUAAUAAAUAUUAUUAAUUUAUUUAUUUGGUUAUUCUGAAAUUGAGAUCCAGCUUGCAAGUAGCUUCAAAGUUGAUUAGGAUACCGAUAGCGAUUAGCAAUGAUUGACUUCUGAAUUGUACAUUUCCAAUUUCCUACCAACACUUGUCUCUUUUUCUAUUCCUGUAAUAUGGUCAAAGAAAUUUUUAGUCCAAAAUAUUUGUUCAAUUUUCAAUACAAAUAUAUUCACAUUAUUCCAAAAUUAUCAAGAAAGUUGUAUAACAAUUAAUGACGGUUGGGGUACAAGUGAGAAAUAUCUCAUUAAUAUUUUCUUAAUAUCUAUAUUUUUUAAAAGGGGCAUGUAUGGUGGGACGGAUGAGAUUUUUUUAGGAUAUAUUUCUUAAAAUUUUUAUCGAAGUUUUGGAAAUGAAUUCUGAGAACUAUUUCAACAAAUUUUGUUUGAUAUUUAUUAUAAUUUUAAUAACUCAAAUGAUAUCUUGUUAAAAAUUAAUAAAAAAAUGAUAUAAUUCGAUGACCAUUUUAAUAUUUUUUAUAGUUUUUGUGUUACAAGACCACUUUAACAAGGAAGAAAAACCUUCCCAUACGGCAUAUGCUAAUGCUAGCAUCUUCGGGGAUUGAUGAACAUAUUUAUUCAUCAUUGGCACCUUGCUAAUAGUUGAUUUAUUUAUAAUUCGUAUGAAUGGGAACCUUGGUCAUGACAUCCUCGAAUACCGGAUGCUUUGUGAUCCUUGGUGCUGAAUUCUUGUUACAAGUCAGUAAAAAUAUGUGGCCGCUGAUGCUCAAGUUAUAAACUCCACAUUCAUCACAAAAUCAUAAUCAACCCAUAGAUCUAAAAAAUAUAAACUAAAAAAUAAUAAUGCUGAUUCAGUUGCUACUGUGUUACAUUACAUGUGAGAAGAUAGCCCCCUUUGCCGAAUUUAAAGAUGAUUAUAUAUGUAAGGAAUGGUGAAAGAGGGAGUAAAAAGAAUACAACACAAGCAGUAAAUACACGACAAUUCCUACAAAACCAGCAGCCAAACCUGCAGUAACUUGGUCACAGUACUUGUGAAACUGACCACAUAUCGGUAACCAACCAGCAUGAUAAUUCCCUUUUUUCCCCACAUGUGCUAUGGCUAAUGCUGCUGAUAUGCUUGUACUCAGUAACAUUAUCACAACCUGUCAUUAAAUUACCAAAACCUGAAUUAGCGAAAAGGGAUGAGACGGAAGAAUCAUAUUUUCAAGUUUCAUUUAUGCUUACGACGUCAGGGACUACAAUGAAUCGCCAGAAAGAGUUGUCUAGAGGUAGAAACAGCAGCAGGAGACCGUAGAUGCUUGCAAUUACAUUUGCAAUUACAAAGUACCUUGUUAUGAUAAUAGAAAAAGAACAUAUUUAUAUUAGACCAGUUAAGAUAGUUGUUUAAUGUAGAAUCAGGAAAAAGAAGAAGCUUACUUUAAAGCUGGUGAAUCACUGUACUUGGCUUCGAAAGAGAUGGUGAAGAUCCUAGCUUUUUCAUGGCUCGUAGCUGUGAUAAUGGCAGCCAAAAAAGUCGCGAUCAAUGCUAGAAGCCUUGGAAAGAGAAUGGCAUAUUUCUUGAGAUGUUUUUUCUUGGUCUCCAUGGUCAGAGUUUCAUUCAGUAUGUUCUGAAAUUACUGGAUUCAAGAAUUUUAGUUUUAAGAAAAAUGUAAGCUAACAGAUGUGUUUGGUGCACAACUAUGGCAUGGAAUAGUGCUGCAACUUUUCACACAUAUCUGUAUGCUUGUGUUAGUUGAGAAACUCAACUAUUUGUCACACCAAAAUUUCUACUUUUCAUCUGAAUUCAAGACUUUCAACUAAAUAGUUUAUUAAGUAACACUAUACUGAAAAUUUGCAUUGCAGCACAGUUCCCUGCCAAGACAAACAAAAUUUAACAGUAAAGUUUUUAACAAAAACAAAUCAAAUUUUCACCAAAAUUUAUCGGCACAAGCACUGAUUUUUUUUUUCUGCCAAGUAAAACUAAAGUAAUGUAUCGUUUCAGCAGUAACAUGUUGAUGAGUUUUAAGCUGGUGAUUAGAUAUAAUAAUAGACUCGUAUAAGCCUACAUUUUUUUUUCAUGAAUUUACAAAUAAAUAUUGAUAAUUAUUAUUCUCAAAGCAAUUUCUUUGAAUCUUUAGAAUUAUUUGUAAUAUUGGGUUUACUCAAAUGUCUCAUGACUCACAGGUGUCCACGAAAGCUCGAUGAAAUCACUUAAAUUAUUAUAUAUUUUUUCAAUCAAAUUUCUUAAAAAAAAUAAUAUAAAACAUGAUAGAGUAGGGGUCACUUUUUGAUGCAUCACUGGUAGAAUUAUUAUGUGACUGAUAAAACAUAAAAAUAAUAAGAAGUUCAAAUCUUAUUAUAUUAAUUUUGUCAAUUUUUAAAAUAUUCAUCAAAAAUAUAUAGUCCUUUUGAANUGCCAAGACAAACAAAAUUUAACAGUAAAGUUUUUAACAAAAACAAAUCAAAUUUUCACCAAAAUUUAUCGGCACAAGCACUGAUUUUUUUUUUCUGCCAAGUAAAACUAAAGUAAUGUAUCGUUUCAGCAGUAACAUGUUGAUGAGUUUUAAGCUGGUGAUUAGAUAUAAUAAUAGACUCGUAUAAGCCUACAUUUUUUUUUCAUGAAUUUACAAAUAAAUAUUGAUAAUUAUUAUUCUCAAAGCAAUUUCUUUGAAUCUUUAGAAUUAUUUGUAAUAUUGGGUUUACUCAAAUGUCUCAUGACUCACAGGUGUCCACGAAAGCUCGAUGAAAUCACUUAAAUUAUUAUAUAUUUUUUCAAUCAAAUUUCUUAAAAAAAAUAAUAUAAAACAUGAUAGAGUAGGGGUCACUUUUUGAUGCAUCACUGGUAGAAUUAUUAUGUGACUGAUAAAACAUAAAAAUAAUAAGAAGUUCAAAUCUUAUUAUAUUAAUUUUGUCAAUUUUUAAAAUAUUCAUCAAAAAUAUAUAGUCCUUUUGAAUUCUAUACACUUUUCUUUUCGGGAUGUCCCAUUCAAUUCUAUACAUUUCAAAACUUCCCCAAAACAGUAAACUUUUAUAAUAUAAAAAUCCUACCCACCCACUAACUUCAUCUACUUUUCACAAUUUAUCACUUAAAUUUUACCUACUUUUUUUUCUCUUUCUCAUUACUUUACAUUACUUUAUACACUUUUCUUAAUCUUCAUGCCUAAAUGUAUAUAUCUUGAAGGGACAGAGGGAGAGUACUGAUUUAAAUAAUUUAAACGAGAUCUGGUUUGAGAGCGGGGAGUCAACGACCAAAUGUAAGGACGUAACGGAUGGUCGGUAUAAACCUCUUUAUAAUAGUAUUUAUUAUUCAAAAUACAAACACGUUACAAAAUUAAUAUUUGCCUAAAUAUUGUCUUUUAAACACCUGUGUAAUAAUCAAAACCUAAAAUCUUGUCUUUCUUCAAGCACCUGUAAAACUAUGGCUAUUUCUUCAUCUUCCACCUUUGCGUCUAAAACCCUAAAAUUUUCUGCACCAAAAGCUUCAAUUUUGAACCUCCAUUACUCUCCCCCAUCCAAAACUUAUCUCAAAUCCAAUCUGAAUUUUACCUUAAAGCCCCCAUCUUUGUCUCUUUCCUUCAAUCCCCACAAAGUCAAACCCCCAAUCAAGAAAAGUCAACGCAAUGGAUUUGAAGUCAAUUCCUUGUUCACUGGCAUUGUUGAAGAAAUGGGUGAAAUUAAAGAGCUCGGGGUCUCGAAAAUUGAUGGUGGGUUUGAUAUGAAAAUUAAAGGGAAGGUGGUUCUUGAAGAUGUUAAUUUGGGUGACAGCAUUGCUGUGAAUGGUACUUGUUUAACAGUUACGCAUUUUGAUAAAAAAUUGAGUGAAUUUACAGUGGGGUUGGCUCCGGAGACAUUGAGGCUAACUUCGUUGAUUGAGCUUGAGGCAGGUUCAGUUGUAAAUUUGGAGAGGGCGGUGAAGCCGUCGACUCGAAUGGGGGGGCAUUUUGUGCAAGGCCAUGUGGAUGGGACUGGGGAGAUUGUGGGGAAAGAAGUGGAGGGGGAUUCUUUGUGGAUUAAGGUUAAGACGACACCAGAGAUUUUGAAGUACAUUGUGCCGAAAGGGUAUAUUACGGUGGAUGGAACUAGUUUGACUGUAGUGAAGCUGUUUGAUGAGGAGGACUGCUUUAAUUUUAUGUUGGUGGAGUAUACUCAGCAGAAUGUGGUGAUACCAUUGAAGAAAGUUGGGCAGAAGGUGAAUUUGGAGGUUGAUAUACUUGGUAAGUAUGUGGAGAGGCUACUAAGUAGUGGUUUUGUUGGUGCUAUGAAAUCGGCGUGAUGAUUUGAAGUUGAAAUUGCCACGUGGUUGUUUACGAAGAAUAAAUUAAGGUCCUCUGUAAGUGCAAUGUACUCUCGAAACUGUUAAUUUGCAAUUAUGUGAGCUAGUUGGUUUAUGUGUAAUUUCAUUGUUUUUGAUGAUUGGUAAUAUGAAUAAGAAUAUAUGCAUCUUGAUCCUGGUUGAGACUUGAGAUACUAUAUUAUAGUUAUUCAGUUUACAUCAUGAUGAUCUGUAAAAUGUUACCCUGAUACGGUAUAAUACCUCAUGUGAUAAAUAAUAUAUUGCUAAUUAGGGGUAAAUGUUACAUUUAAUGGAAUUCUGAGUAUAUGUGGCAGAUGUUAAUGAUACAAAUGGAGGAAGCACCAAGGGCAUAUCUUGUGUACUUUACAGGGUUAGCAAGUGAAUGUCUCUGUGUAUGUAUAUGAUAGUCUAGAAUUUUGUACUGUAAUGGCUAGCAGUUGAUUUCAUUGAAGAAGCACUACAUAGAAUAUGUACUUGUGUAGGAGUAGAAUGAACCCGGUCUCUUUCUUACUGCCGUACAACUCUUGUCAUAUGUAUAAUAAGCCUUUAUCCUUAAGAGCCAAGCUGUAGCUAGAACUAAGCCCAGCUAUACUUGCUCACGAAUAUCACGCAGUCUACAACUUGUCCGUAAUUCGACAAGCUAACUCUAAAUAAGCAGUCUAGCAUAAACUGCUACAGGUUCUGUGUUGUCCAUAAUUUGACAACCUAACUCUAAAUAAGCAGUCUAGCAUAAACUGCUACAGGUUCUGUGUUGUCCAUAAUUUGACAACCUAACUCUAAAUAAGCAGUCUAGCAUAAACUGCUACAGGUUCUGUUCAUGCUUUCAUUGAGUGUCUAGCUUAUAUAUGUUAGUUUCUCAGAGCAACUCCAUUGCCAAAGGGAUUGUAUCUUUAUCGAAUUGGUGCUAGUGUAGUUAUAGAUUAACAGGAGGACUGCCUUGUCUGGGCAAUGUAUCUUCUGAGAAUUAGCACGUAGGUAUAUUUUUAUAGGUAUUGUGCAGAAAAACCCAUAGCCCUUGAAAAGGCCUAUAAAAUUGGAUUGAAAUUUUCUUAUAUUGGCUUUGGAAGCCCAUUAACUACAGUAUUAUAGGGUCUCCUUGUUAUCUAAUUAAUAACUUUGAUGAUUAUCUUAUAAAUUAGGGAUCAAAAACUUGUCUUUCAGAGUGAUUUCAAUUAGAUAAGCUUGUAUAGCUUUAAAGUCCUGUAAUUUAAAAAGAUUAUUCGAGAGUUUUAUGUUGAUUACUGGAAUCCUUAGUUCUCUGUGGAAGAUCUAUUACUGGCAAUAGUUCCAAAUCAGUAAUGACCAACUUAUGUCCCCAUCAAUUGUCACAACAAAAAUGAUGUAUAGGUGUGUGAAUAGUUUUAGAAACCACAGCACUUCGAAUCGAUCGAUGACUCUUUUGUUAUUUUUGUAUAUAUUAGGUUUGAUUUUUACCUCUCUUUACUCUAAAUAAUUGGGACAUAUGGACAAUUUUAAGUUUUCCCCAAUUUUUCUCUUGGCAAGGUUAUAUAGCCAAUUAAAUAAUGAAUGAUGCCAGUAGCAAGUAGCACCAGUCGGAGAUGAAAUUGAGAAAUGGUCUAGAGAUUAUCUGAUAUGGUGCAUUUUCAUGUUUAGAUGCCAUUGAUUGUACCAUAUGUAGGAGUGGUAUUAUAAAAUUUUACAACUUUGGAAGGAAGGGCGACUAUAAGAUGCUCAUGGGUUCACUUGACAUCAAUUGGCCUUUUUGCUCUGUCAAUAGGUGUUUGUUUUUCCUUCUAAUUUUUAUGCGAGGAUGAGAUAACUGAAAACACCCUAAUAAAAGAGUUUAGACCAUGGAAUCAAGAAUUGUUAGAGUUUUGAAGUUAUAUGUGAGAGUAAUGUUUUCUUCUCCCAAAACUUCCCAGUGAAGUGGUGAUAAGAGAUUUAAGAGCCAAAGUUUAAUGUGCUCAUUUCUCACCAAAUAUCUUUCUCCUUCAGAUUGGUGUAUCACAGGAAUUGUUGUUGCAAUCUCCUUUCUUUGACAAAAUCAAAAUUUCCCAGUCUUUUAAUGAAGAGAAAAAACAGUAACCACUGAAUAAAGGAGCGUAUCUGCAAAAUCAUGGCAUUACAAUAUUUUCUGCAACUGUCAUAACUCAUAAACCAGUAAAAUUAUAAAUUGUCACCUGAAGUUUCAGGAAAUUACAACUCAUCCCGGAAUGUCCAGAAAACAGUAGUUUAGCUCCUGUAAUUUACAAUUUGCACUUCUACCCCUGAAAGUUUUGAGAUUGCAGUUCACUCUCUGAGCUUUUGAUAACUCAACUGCUUCCAGUUGUGCAUGUCUAAUACGAACACCACAUAAUAUAGCAGCAAAGUUUUAUGUCAAAAAUAGAUGAUAUUGUAAAACCCUGCGACUUUGUAAGUAGAAGUUCAAUAUAUAUGCAGAUGCCCUGAUUGUAUUCCACUUUGUAAUACUAAUAAUUAGUAGUCCAAGACUCGAGAUUAAAGGAGUCAACCUUAUAUAUUAGCUCUACCACUAUAAUACAUAUCCGUUAUACUUUACUUUCUAAUUAUAAUAAAACUAAUUAAUCAACUAACAAAUGAUGUUACACUUAAAUCAUUUGAUAUAUAUAUAAAAUUACGAAACCACCCAUUAAUACUUCUGUAUCCCUCUUCUCUUACUGGCUAAAGGGUUAUCUGUUUUAGCCUAUUAGGAGAUGAAACAACCCUUCCUUUUACCAUUUUCAUUCUCUCAGUAAUUCGAGGACAUGUAUAUGUUGCAUUUGCAAGUACUUCUCUUCGAUCCAGAGUUGUUAGAAAAUGUGAAACAAGAGUUGUACAAUGUUACCAAAUUAGUGAAACUGAUACAACAAAUCCAUGCAUGAAAUUUGAAGUAGCUGGUGGUCCUUGUUGGCCGGCUUUAUGAGGUCAUCUCUGAGAUCUAAGUUUAAGAAAGAUGCAUACACAAGUGGACAGAGCUUAUGGACAAUAUAAUACAAAUAAGAUUGGAGAAACAUCUUGUAAAGUAUCAAAUGUGACAGAAAAGUUUAUUUUCAAAUGUUAAAGUGCUGAGCUCAGGGAAGGAAAGUAUAUGUAUUUAGGUGGCUGUUAUCAUCUUAGAGGAGCUGAUACCAUAAACUAAUUUUUGCGGAGUCAGAUUGCAAUCUGUAAAACCUACGCUAUUAUUGCCUGUACCAUUGAUGUUGUCACUGUCCCCUGCGGGGCAGUAUAUAAUUUAAAGGCGAUUUUAUUCUCUCGGGUAUUCUAUUACAGUUUGCCUUGAGGUUGAUUAAAAAUUCUUAAUUGCAAGUUUUCACACACAAAUAUUACCUCCACUACUAAAGGUCUAAAGCUAUUGGCUAUCUUAUAUGAAUAUAGUAUUGGCUCACUACUCAUAUACCAAUAAUAUUACAUAGUUAAUCUUAAUUGGUAGAUGAUGCUUACGAACAGGGUACUAUAUUCACUAAUUCUGCUAGAUCACAGACCAUGGACUACAUGUGCAGUGCAAAUCCCAUGAAUGUUUUAAAGUGAUUAUUAUUUAGUUUGUGCCAGCAGCUUGUAGCUCUGUAAACUAACAGUUGCGUAUGUUCUCUUGCCACCCUGUAUCAACAUCACAUGUCUUUCUUCUUGCUUCUUUUCUCGUUUGUUGCUAAAUAACAUCACAUGCCUUUCUUAAUCUGCUCGACAUAUUGUCCCCGGCUGCCUACUUUCUUUUCUUUAUAGUAUUUAUAGUUGUCUGUGUUCUUCCGCGUCCUUUCCUCCUGGGAGAGGAAUCUGAUUGGUGUCUUGGAAGCGUAGAAAUGAUUUUUCUAUUAUGGGUUUGGUAAUUCUCUAUGCAUUACUAUUAUAUGUACUAGGAGUACUCCCUAAUCAUAGGAUUAAUGUAUUUGCAUGUUACUAUGAUUUCACUUUUGAUGUGAACUUUUAGUUUUUAUUAACAAGGUUCAUGUCUUUGUGAUUUGAGGGGGAAUUUAUUAUUUAUGGUUGACCUCACCAGUUUUCUGUUAUUGCUUGUUAUAUCGAGUAAUAGUAGGUUAUCGGAGUUGUGUUAAAAGCAUGAAGCAUAGGGUCAUCAGGUGAAUCACUUCGGCUCGGGCUGGGGUAAAAGCAUGAAGCAGGGUCAUCGAGUGAUCACUUCGGCUCGAUGCACAUCCCCAGUGUAACAAUGAAUUUACUUGAAAUUUAGAUGAUAACUUGUUUCAUACAGAACUGUAGCAAUGUCUUGGGACAAUAAAAUGAGACCUAGUAUACUUCACAGGUUACUUGAAAUUUUUCCCAUCUCACUAGUCCUUAUGUAGCUUCUCCGAUCCCACUGGUUCUUAUGUAGCUCUGUCCUCAAUAUUCUCACAGUAUAAUAUGGAUACGACGGCAAUAAUCAUCUCAAAGAUGAGCGCCCGUGUUCCACUCUUCAACCCGAAAAAUGGGAUUUCGAGUGAUGAGGAGUGCUAAAUGGACCGUUUCUCAACAGAUACAAAUAUGUUUAUACAUGUAUGCACAACAUCCUUUGUCCCUUUGUGACCAAAGCACAAGUUGCAUUAUUAACAUUAUGGUGAAAUGAAAGGGGUGGCAUUAUGAUGCGCAAGUGCACCACACAUAGGACAUCUUCUGCCAUGAUAAUUGAAUGAUAAAGCCAUCCAUUAGCCAGGCUAACCCUUCCUGUGCCAGUCGUAUAUAUCUACUCCAUCUCCUUUAUGCAUCCAAAUCCAUCUUUCGGUUGACCAACUUUUACUAGAAAAAUCUUCUUCUUUUCUUCUGUCAAGUCAUUAACUUUUCGAGUACAGCCCACUUCUGUGAGAACAUUUCCACAUAAUUAGGGGUGCUGACCAUCCAAAACCCGAAAAGACACCACCAGGCUCGAAACUACACAAAACAGAUUCGAUUCGAUUAAUUGAUCUGGAAUUUUUUCUUCUUCUUCUUUUUUUUUUUUUUGAGAGCAGGAAUUUUUUCUUCUAAUUGAGAUAUAGAUGAUGCUUCUAAGAGGUUGUUUGGUUGGUUCGUAGAGUAUUAUGAAGUUGGAAAGAGGAAUCGAGUUAAGGUGUAUUAAUAUUAUAUACUUUUGUACUGUUGAUUAUUCUUGUAAAAAAUAAUAAUAGAAAUAUUUUUAUUAUAUAUUUUUACAUCAUUGAUUAUUCUUAUAUAAAAUAUUAAUAUUUAAUUAUUUUAAUAGAGACAAAAAAUUAAAAAUGAAAUUGAUUCUCGAACUCGUUAUCAAAAACUUAUAUAUCGGGGAUUUGAAAUAUGAGUUUGAAAUUUUGAUUUUUGCAAUCAAAUGACAGAUUCCACGUAAUUAUGAGUGACAGGCAGCGGUUUUCUAUCUUCCAAAACCCGAAAAACACGACACGGGCGACAGUAGCACGUAACCCGAAACCCGAAAAACACGAUGCGGCUCGAAACAAUCAAUUUGAUUAAUUGAUCCAAAAAAUUUACUUCUAGUUCGGAUAUAAAUGAUGCCUCUGCAAAUAAUAUUUAGGAAAUAUUAAGAUCGUUAAAUAUUUGUGGAACGGUGACUUGAGACUUGUAUAAACAACAACCGGUCGGUCAGUGAUUUGUCAUUUCCACCACCUGUAGUGUUUUUGAGAUGGGAUAGUGAUAGCUUAGAAGCUCUAUGCCUUGCUUUCUUUUCCUUUAAAUUGUUAUCAUCUGCCCUUUUCUCAGUUACGGGCUAAUCUUUGUUUAGCCGACAAUUAUAUAAAGAAAAGUUGGUGUUAAUUAUGUCAUUAAUUAACUGUAAAAUGGGUGGUUGAGGUGAUUAUACUAGUUGGUUGGUCAUUAGAUGGACGAUCAUGUUAUAUCAAUUUGAAUAUGAUUGCUACAUGAAUAAAAUAUCUUUUGGUGGUUUUUUAAGCCAAUGAAAUUGACCCUAAUACACUGUACUAAUCGUGCUUAAUUACGUAGAAGUAGCAAACAUGAUUUGUGUGAUAUACUUAUCUAUGACAGGGAUGUUGAUCUGCUUUUAACGUAUGGCAACAAAUUUUUAUCCUUCCUACUCCCGGACUUAUUUUCGAUAAAUUUAAAUAUUCGAAAUCCUGAAAAAUAGAGGAAUAUUUGAUAUUUUUAAUUAAAUAUGAUUAAUCGGAUGAUUCAGAACGGAUCGUGCCAGAUUAGCUACAAUCCGAUCCGUAGAAACAUGAUUUGUCCGGUCGGUGAAAGCAUGAUCUGUGACCGUUCGUGUGAGCAGGCAGUCCGAUUCUGUUCUGUUUAGCUAAUCCGAUCCUAGUUUGUGGGUGAUUUGAUUCGACUCCGAUUUGAUUCUGUGAGCAGGCGGUCCGAUUCGAUUCUGUUUAGCUAAUCCGAUCCUAGUUUGUGGGUGAUUUGAUUCGACUCUGAUUUGAUUCUAUGAGCAGGCGAUCCGAUUCGAUUCUGUUUAGCUAAUCCGAUCCUAAUUUGUGGGUGAUUUGAUUCGACUCUGAUUUUUAUAUAACAAAUUUGUAUAUGGUUUCAAUAUUAAACGGUCCGAUUCGUUCAAGUAUGGUACAAAUUGGUUUUUACGAGUUUUUUUACAGAUUCGUUCUAAUUCGAUAAUGUCAGAACCGCUCGCUUGACCGGUUCUAUCCGUAAUAUUUGCGGAACGGUUUAUGAUGAUGAUCUUCCAGAGAGGUGGUUGAAUGAGGUAAGGGCCAUAACUGACUCCACCAGCUUAUUGGGAGGAACAGCCCAACAGCAGCAGCUUAGUUGGAAUAUCGAGAAUCACAGGUUCAACUUGUGAAGAUGGUGUAAAGGCGUGCGUGGCGUCAUCGUAUCCAUACACCUGGCACCUUGUUAUUGGGUAGCAACUCGAAAAUAUCAGGGCCUGAUUGAAUGAUAUGGUAGCUGCUACAUCACUUUUUUCUUUCUUCAUUUCAAAUUUCAAUUCCCGAGAUGCUGCGGAAAACCUUGCUCAUUUUUCUUGCUUUUUUCAAUCUUUACCCCCUACCCUCUUCCACAUUGCUGUGCGGGAUUGAGUCCGGUUGCUAUUACUUGAAUAAAUAAUACUCCCUCCAUUCCGAUUUAGAUUUAGAUGAGCUUUUUGCUCAUUUCACACAUAUUAAGAGAUAUUAAACGAUUGUUUUUUUUUCAUCUUUACCCAUAUUUAUUUUAGCUAGUGGUACAUUGGAAUGAUAAAUAAGAGAGGGUAAGGAUGGAAAAUGGUUGAUAAAUAUGCAUUGAAAGGAGAGAAGCUCAACUAUUUUGGGAUAAAUUUUUUUCCAAAGGCUCGUCUAAUUUGGGAUGGAGGGAGUAUUAUUAUUAUUUCCAAAAUAUUUUAUUAUAAUAAAUUUAAAAUAUAAAUUUAGAUAAUCAUAAGUUUCAGAAAACAACAUAUUUUUAGUUGGUCGUUUACUUAGAAAUUAAAGUAUUUUCCGAUUAAUUUCCAAGAUCAAAAUUUUUCUGAAUUAUAACUUUUCGCCAAAACUUAGUUAAUAAUAUAUAAUUUGUUUCAUUCGUGCUAAAAAAUAGUUAGAUCGUGUAUACAUAAACGCCUAAUUAAAAUCAAUAAUAAAAUUUAUGUAUGUCCCACAUUUGUAGUGUUUGUUUGAUCUAUUUUACAUAAAAGAACUUUACACAGUAUGUUUUGUAAAAAACUAAAAAUAAACACCACACAUAAUUUGUUGCUUGCCCAAAAUAAUACAAUCUAAUUGCGUAUACGUUUAUGUUACUAAUUAUACUAGUAAAAUGUAAUUAUUCUUAAGUUGAGGUUUAUCAUCUGAACGACUUAUACUUUCUUACCACUACAAAAGCGCCAAGUGUUAAUUCUUUAUCAGGCAAUUAUGUAAGUGAUUAAGGNCAGGAUAAACUGAAGNACAUUUGUAGUGUUUGUUUGAUCUAUUUUACAUAAAAGAACUUUACACAGUAUGUUUUGUAAAAAACUAAAAAUAAACACCACACAUAAUUUGUUGCUUGCCCAAAAUAAUACAAUCUAAUUGCGUAUACGUUUAUGUUACUAAUUAUACUAGUAAAAUGUAAUUAUUCUUAAGUUGAGGUUUAUCAUCUGAACGACUUAUACUUUCUUACCACUACAAAAGCGCCAAGUGUUAAUUCUUUAUCAGGCAAUUAUGUAAGUGAUUAAGGUUUAUCCUCUGUUGGCCCAGGUCCUGGGUUCGACUCUGGCUCACCUCGAGAAUAUCUUAGAAUAGAUACUCAAAUUGUAAGGCUAUAAGCCACAUUAGUCAAAAAAAAAAAAACAAAGUCAAAAACGAAAAUGUGGAGAAUAUACAUAGCACAAAACAUCAAAGAACCGUGCACUCAGAAACGGACCAUACAGAGUACAGACGUUAAUCAAAAAUUAACGCAACCCCCGCGCCUAAUAUUCUAAUUAGCACAGGAAAAGUAUAGUCCGUAAUUGCCUGUCUGUCAAUCUCUUACUAAUAUAAAUAGCCGUCAAACACACAGACUCUUCACUAUUACCCAUCUCCCAGCUUUCUUCUUGUUCUUGUUCUCUCUUAACAACUCAUUCUUAGACACCAAAAUUCUCCAGCUAGAUCCAUGAAGAAAUCCGGGUUCUUCGUGGCUGCUUCCGCCGCCGUCGUGUCCUCAUACUCUUCUUCCUCCGAUUCCAAGAUUCACUUCUCCCGUCAGGUAAAAAGUCUUAAACAAGAACUCGAGAAAUCAUGAGAACUAAAUAUUCAUAACAAAUAUUCAGUUCUCGUGAUUUUGAAUCGCGUCUGAAUGUUAUGACACAUCAUGACAUUCAGAGUUUUAUAAGAACUAAAAACUCGAAAAUCAUGAAAAUUAAAUAUUCACGACAAAUAUUUAGUUCUCAUGAUUUUGAAUCG
This 43739-nucleotide long non-coding RNA is filed under the name Daucus carota (carrot). RNAcentral's name for it is "long non-coding RNA (DCAR_LNC003213)". Lineage: Eukaryota; Viridiplantae; Streptophyta; Magnoliopsida; Apiales; Apiaceae. The record is from RNAcentral.